RNAcentral lists this long non-coding RNA (1869 nucleotides) under Solanum lycopersicum (tomato). Its description in RNAcentral is "long non-coding RNA (SLYC_LNC000213)". Lineage: Eukaryota; Viridiplantae; Streptophyta; Magnoliopsida; Solanales; Solanaceae. The record is from RNAcentral.
GGAAGGUGUUAGGCACCCUUCGAAAUCCACAAUUGUGGGUUCCGACUGAAUUCAUUUUUUUUUCAAAUUGAGGAGCAAAUAAAUAAUAUACAAGUCAACUAACAUGUAAUAUAAACAAAUAACAAAAUAAAAUAAUAAUGCAAGUAUUGGCCUAAUGUUUGCCUAACAUCAAUUAUAUACACAAUGAUAAAUAUAAAAUACAUUUCAAUUCCAUUGGAAUAACUUCGAUGAGAAGCAACUCAAGGGUACCUGUAAACACAAUUAGUAAAAGAGUUAGUGAUAAAUUAAUCAUGAAUAAAAAUGAAUAACUCAAAUAAUAACUUAAAAAUAAAAAUCCGUCUUAUAAACAUGGAAGACCUUAGAAAUAGACGGUAUUUUCAUCGGCCAAUUUUAUCACAAAAAAAUAUAUAAUUUUGAACUAAAUUUUCCAUCUUUUAAACAUUGGGGAGACCUCUAAACCCGACAAAGAGAUUUUCAUCAUUGACCAAUAAAGAGAAAAAAAUAAACUAAGUAAAAAUAUAAGCAAAACAAUAGUGACUUGAUGACAGGCAGAACCAAAAUUUCACAAACAAUGACUAUUUUAUAGCAAAAAUAAAAUAAAAUCCUAACAAUGCUUUAAAUAACAAAUGAAGAUAUCCAAAAUAAUGAACAAUAAAUAAUAUAAACUAAUAUUCAAAUAACCAACAAAUUAAACAAAUAAAUAAAAUGAACAUAUAAUUAAAAAUCAUAACACCUAAUAGAAUAAAAUAAGGCUAUUAGAACAAACUAAAACUAUUAAGUUAACUUAAUAAUCAUUUAACCGAUAGCUAAAUGUAUAUAAUAACAACAAUAAUAGAAUCUAAUCGACAAGUUAAAAGUGGCAAGAUUGAGUAGCAAUCAUUUAAAGCGAUAAAAAUUCAUACAUUACUAUCAACACAAAAAUCCAAUAAAAAUAUAUAAAAUUAAUAAUAAUACAAACUAAAAAUAAAGCAGAGAAACCAACACAUAUGACCUAUUACUGAAACAUUGUAAAUUGCACAUAAUCUAUUUAAUAAACAAAAUAUGACAUAGUUAACAGUGGAACCGUGGUAAGUUAAGUGUGUGCAUUUAUUUAUUUUAUUAUUAUUUUUUUAAAAAAAAAUUAGAAAAAAGGACAAACACCAAACAAAUAUAAUGAGAUGUUGUUGAAAUUCUUAUCACAGCAAACCGCGAUGAAAAAUAAAAAUAAAAUGAAACAAACAAUAUCAUACAACGGUAGCCGGAGUUUGAAGCUUCGCUGGAGCAUUUUGAGUUUCACCGGAGAUGAAGCAAAUAGUGGCUGCUGGUUUGGAGCUUGUAGAUCGCUGGUUCAUCGUUGUUACGAGCAUGUUGACUCGCUUGUGCUUCGAGCUCAUCAGUUUUGGAGUUUGUAGCUCGCUAAAAUGGCUGCAAAAUGAACAAGAUCAUAUAGAAAAAAGGGGGGAGGGAUGGUUCUUGAUGGUCUCGUGAUUAUUUUACUCCGAUUCAUCAGAUGUUGAAACUCCUCGUCGGAGUCACUGUUGGCAGCAAUUAAAGGGGAAAAUAAUGGGUUUUGGGGGUUGUUUCAGGUAGAUUUUUGUUGGUUGGUGCUAGUCAUUUGUAAAGAGGAAAUGGGUGAAGUUUCAUCGGAAAAAGAGAAGAGGAAGAUGGGGUUUUGUUGUUGUACGUUUGGGGUGGUGUUCUUGGUGGUCGGAGGGAAAGCAACAGGUGGAUUUUUGGGUUGACGAGAAUAAGGAAAUUGAUAGAGUAGGAGGGUCUUGGUGGCUGUUUGGUGAAAAAGAAAGGGGAGAAUGGAGGUGUCUUGGUUGGUGGCGACUUCAAAAGGGAGAAAUAUAUCCUUAUUUCAUAUGAAAAUUUACACUUAUCCUAAUU